This 253-nucleotide ribosomal RNA is filed under the name uncultured bacterium. Its description in RNAcentral is "partial 16S ribosomal RNA". It matches the Rfam family "Bacterial small subunit ribosomal RNA", at positions 524 to 776 of the family's 1533-position model. The record is from RNAcentral.
UACGAAGGGGGCUAGCGUUGCUCGGAAUCACUGGGCGUAAAGCGCACGUAGGCGGAUUGUUAAGUCAGGGGUGAAAUCCUGGAGCUCAACUCCAGAACUGCCUUUGAUACUGGCGAUCUCGAGUCCGGGAGAGGUGAGUGGAACUGCGAGUGUAGAGGUGAAAUUCGUAGAUAUUCGCAAGAACACCAGUGGCGAAGGCGGCUCACUGGCCCGGUACUGACGCUGAGGUGCGAAAGCGUGGGGAGCAACAGGG